This 328-nucleotide ribosomal RNA is filed under the name uncultured eukaryote. RNAcentral describes it as "partial 18S ribosomal RNA". It matches the Rfam family "Eukaryotic small subunit ribosomal RNA", at positions 1470 to 1796 of the family's 1831-position model. The record is from RNAcentral.
CCCUUAGAUGUCCGGGGCUGCACGCGCGCUACACUGAAGGAAUCAGCGUGCUAAAACCAUUGUCGAAAGGCAUUGGUAAACCCAUUAAAAUCCUACGUGAUUGGGAUCGGGAAUUGCAAUUAUUUCCCUUGAACGAGGAAUUCCCAGUAAGUGUGGGUCAUAAGCUCGCGUUGAUUACGUCCCUGCCCUUUGUACACACCGCCCGUCGCUGCCCGGGACUGAGCCGUUUCGAGAAAAGCGGGGACUGCUGCUGUCGGGGCUUUCGGGCCUUGGCUUCGGUGGAAACCGCUUUAAUCGCAGUGGCUUGAACCGGGCAAAAGUCGUANCA